GUGUCAGCCGCCGCGGUAAUACGUAGGGUGCGAGCGUUAAUCGGAAUUACUGGGCGUAAAGCGUGCGCAGGCGGUUAUACAAGACAGGCGUGAAAUCCCCGGGCUUAACCUGGGAAUGGCGUCUGUGACUGUAUAGCUAGAGUGUGUCAGAGGGGGGUGGAAUUCCACGUGUAGCAGUGAAAUGCGUAGAUAUGUGGAGGAACACCAAUGGCGAAGGCAGCCCCCUGGGAUAACACUGACGCUCAUGCACGAAAGCGUGGGGAGCAAACAGGAUUAGAUACCCUGGUAGUCCACGCCCUAAACGAUGCUGACUAGUUGUUGGGAAUUUACAUUCUCAGUAACGUAGCUAACGCGUGAAGUCAGCCGCCUGGGGAGUACGGUCGCAAGAUUAAAACUUAAAUGAAUUGACGGGG
This 413-nucleotide ribosomal RNA is filed under the name uncultured prokaryote. Its description in RNAcentral is "bacterial SSU rRNA". It matches the Rfam family "Bacterial small subunit ribosomal RNA", at positions 505 to 918 of the family's 1533-position model. The record is from RNAcentral.